Long non-coding RNA from Homo sapiens (human), 2984 nucleotides. The record is from Ensembl. Lineage: Eukaryota; Metazoa; Chordata; Mammalia; Primates; Hominidae.
GGGCUGACCCGGGAAGCUCUGGCCACCCGGAGCCUGUCUCGGCAUUUGUACGGGGGAUAAAGAGACGCUUCCUCCAAGGCUGUUUUCUGAAUUCAGCAGUGCUCAGGGCAGCUGCGAUGGAGUCAGCAGCUACACCAGGACCCUUCUGAGCACCCUGACUCACUGGCUCUGCGGACAACGGGCCGUGUAGGCCGGGACUCCUUCCUCUGAACACUGGCCUGCCCUGGGGCCUCCAGCUUUCCUCAAGGGGCUUCUCAGGUGAAGGCAAGAAAAGCGACAGCAUUGAACUGGAACCCUGUGAGUGCCAGGAGCUUCAGGGGAGGCCUGAGCACCACUGAAGGUGCAGGGAGUGAAGGUGCCAGCACCGCUCUCCAUGGAGGCCACCGAUCGUCCCACCAACAGGAGACGACCUCAAGACUCCUCCCCGGUGUCCUGUCCACCUGCCUCCAGCCGCCCGAGAUGGGCUCUUCCCUGAGGUUUCUGAAGGGACCAGCUUCCAACUGCACACACUGAGUGGGUGCACAAGACUCCCCGACCCGCAGGGACACACACUGAGUGGGUGCACAAGACUUCCCUGACCCGCAGGGACACACACUGCUGAGCUCAGAAGCAUGUUCAUGUCUUCAAAACUCCCUUGUGAGCCAUGUGGCAUCUUAUGUUGGCCUAGAGAUUUCUACUGCUUUUAUAGGACUAAACAGAACACUCAAAAAAUCCAACGUAGGGAUCAAUCCAACUGUAUCAAUAAUAAGUGAACAUCAGGCCGGGCACGGUGGCUCAUGCCUGUAAUCCCAGCACUUUGGGAGGCCGAGGCGGGCGGAUCACCUGAGGUUGGGAGUUCCAGACCUGCUUGGCCAACAUGGCAAAACCCCAUCUCUACUAAAAUUACAAAAUUAGCCGGGCGUGGUGGUGCAUGCCUGUAAUCCCAGCUACUCGGGAGGUGGAGGUUGCAGUGAGCCGAGAUCACGCCACUGCACUCCAGCCUGGGCAACAAGAACGAAACUCUGUUUCAAAAAAACAAAAACAAACAAAACUAAAGACCUAAACAUCAAUGGUCUCCAUGUGCCAAUUACAAGACAGCGUCAGAGAGGAUCCAAGACACCACCCAAGAAGACGUUGCCUCCAAGAAACCACUUUAAACAUGAGCACAUGGAUCAGAAGCGCAGGGAUGGGAGAGAUGCACGCAGCAACCGGUGCCGUGCAGGAGAUGUGGGAGCAGCUACAGCCAUCCACACAAAAGGUCAUCUCCAAUCCGAGGACGGUCAUUAUCCUCAGGCACCGGCUGUAUGCACGCGGUGCCAGGGAAGCUGUGGCAGGUGACUGGGGGAGUUGGAAACGGCCCGGUGACAGCAGAAGUGUGACCCAGCCACGCGUCUGCCACGACCCCGCACACAUGCACCGCCCGCUAACAGGCUGUGGCCAAUCGCGAGUCCAGGAGCCACGCCCAGGCUCUUGUGCUUGGGACACCAUCACAGGGGAGGUCGGCGCAAUCAGUGGCCUCGGAGGACGGGGUGAGGAGUCCCCACUGGGGAUGCCGCAGAGCCCUGCCCUCGGUGCUGUGAGCGGGUCUGGGCAGGUGCUGACCACCCCCCGGGAACUCAGCACAGCACUGACUCCCAGGAGCCUGCUCUGUGCCAGGUGAUGGUGACAGCAAGGGGACAGCAAAGGGCGGGAGGGUCCGUGUGAGACGACCUUCCCUGGGCUGUCUCAGCGCCAGGGUGUGUGAGGUGGCCCUCAGCCUGUCCAGCACCGUCCCCGGCCGCCAGGGCUCUGACGUGACCUGACACGUUGGGUGACAGCACAUGGUGCUUUGGCGAGUACUUGGUGAUCCUGUUUGUUACUGGUUCUGUUACUCUAUGCACUAUUUUUAUUUGUUUCAUUCUAAGAAACAGGAACCCCAGCCUCCCAAGGCCUGGGGACCCGCAGUGGCUCCAGCAGACCCCAGCCUCCCAAGCCCUGGGGACCCACAGUAGCUCCAGCUGCGCCAAAGGCACUCACCGGCUUGCACAGGUCCCGGUCAGUUUUCGCUUCCAUCUCCCAGACAUGGUGGCCAUCUGGAAGAAAGGAGCAGGAAACGUCUGUGACUCUGUGUGGUGGGGAGCCCCCUCCCCAGACACCCCCACGUGAUCCAGACCCAGGGCCCUGAGCCAGGAGGGCGCCUUGUCCCAGGAGACCCACGUAGGCCCAUCCCAGGGCUUUGUCGAGGGCAGCACCUCAGGAGCCACGUGCCCUGGCAGGGCCCCGAGCUCGACACCAAAGUUGCCCUGGGAGCCUGGAGAAGCUGAGGACACGCGGCUCAGGGCUUGUUCUGACCCCAGCCCGGCGUAGGAGGGACUACAGGGCAGGGGCAUCCUCAGGAAUCCGUCCUGGCCCUGCAUCUGCUGGCCUCUCACAGCCUCAGGACAGGUCACGGGAGGGUCUCUAUGCCCUCGUCCUCUCCAGGGAGAGCAGGUGUGAGGGGGAGCAGGUACCCCAUCAGCAGAGCGUGUGCAGGGCGUCUGUGCGUGGACCUGGGACCCGGCUCUGCAGUUCCCAGCCCAGCCUCCCAGGGAUGCAGGAGGUGUGAGAGUAGUGACGGGGGGCCGGGGGCUCCACGCCAGGGUGCGACGCCUGCUCGUGCUGGGGUCUACUCUGGUGGAUGAGGGCCUGGCCGCUGGCCCUGCCUGUGUGCAAAGGAACCACUGGGUAAAUGAGAAGAGCCUUCCUCUGACAACUUCUUGCCCAUCAGGAGACAGAAAUGCAAAACACGAGGUAUUUUUGGCAUUUCCCCAGUGGCCAUUUGCAUGUUUUUAAAAAAUAAAAAGGCUCCCAGAGGUGUAGUGAAAGGACGCGUUGUGCUCUCUGCUCCAGGCCUGGCAGAGUGGGGGCUCCAGGCGCACACGGACAAGGCGGCCCCACCACAGCCUGGGUGUGUGCACGGCCUGGCCCCUCAGAUGGGCUGAGUUUGGGGCAAUUAUCUCAAAUUAACAGAUGUCAAUCUCCUACAG